CACUUCGGUCCGGAGUCGAUGGGUUAUCAAUUAUAAUUGGCUCUUCAGUCAAUGGUUGUUGAGCAAACCCUUCCCAUCGACACAAAUUUGAUCGUUGU
Molecule: non-coding RNA, 98 nt
Organism: Caenorhabditis brenneri
Lineage: Eukaryota; Metazoa; Nematoda; Chromadorea; Rhabditida; Rhabditidae
Source: Rfam